Molecule: long non-coding RNA, 4421 nt
Organism: Calidris pugnax (ruff)
Lineage: Eukaryota; Metazoa; Chordata; Aves; Charadriiformes; Scolopacidae
Exons: 3
Source: RefSeq, a predicted model, not a curated record
CCACCACCUGCCUAAUGACUGUUAGUUACCCCUAUACAAAGUUGACCCUGUGCUGAUCACCCAGCGUCAUAGACUUUCCAUUUUCAUCCGUACCAGCUGACUUCAGUGUCCAGGACAAAAAGCUAUUGCAGAAGGUUGUGUUGCCAUCUAUUUCUUGGUGUGAAAAGUGCUAGCUGUAAAUCAGUGGUGGUGGGAUUUGUUGAGGAGAAAGAGAAGGGAAUGAACUUUCUCACUUUACUUUGUUUUCCUCACACAGAAUCCAAACUCGUUUCUGGGAUUAAGAAAGUGGAGACUUAGCAUCUUGUGGGCUGUCAAGGAGGAAAAGAUGGAAGAAAACGGCCUGGCAACUAGCAUCCUUGCUAAGGCACAAAAGUUGUGAUGUCUGCUUGCAAGUUCAUUUGUAAGUACUCAAUUUAGUGACAUGUCUUGUAAUGAUGUACAUGGAGGAGGGCUUUUGGAUGAUGCACGGGUUGGUCUCGUUCCUGGAUGGGAAACUUCCCCUCUGUGCUGCUUCAGUGUCUGGAAUAAAUGAGCACCCUCCUAGUGAUGCCAUCAGACAAUGGGAGCACCAGCCAGACCUGGAAAUGUGCAGGUUCUUGGGAGCUGUAGGAGUGUGAGAUUGUGUAAUUUGUUGGCAAAAGUGUGUGUAUCUAUUUGCAAUCUAUUGUCUCCUGCUAACAGGUUUAGGCGCAGAUCAGUAAUGGUAUUUAAUCACCUGCCUCUUCGUAAUGACAUUCAUAGGUAGACAUUUAACUAUAUUUUGUCCUCAACUAAGCUAGGGCCAUCGUUUUUCUUUUGUCACUGGCAGAGACCGUGCAUAAAGAUGUGUAAUAACUUUUAAGCAGGUGCCAGUUCCUGGUGAUGCUGAGACCUUCAUUUUUCAGCUCAGUCACCAUCUCUGUGCUAAAGCUGGUGAUCUUGUGUCCGAAUCUAACCCAGCCUGAGGUUCAGAGAAAUGGCACAGUCAUUGCACUGUCAACAAAUGCUCUCAAACAGCAGCAAUGACAGUCCCCUACAGCAAUUUCCUUCUGACACUGCCUGUGACGAUGACAAUGACUCAUAAAAGCUAGAAGCCGUCAGAUUCUUUGGCCGGGUGAGGUGUCCUGCUGGUGCUCUGAGGGUCUCGCACUUGGGUGAGACUUUGUGUCCCAUCAACCCAAAGGAUGAGUGAGCGAGUGGUGUCUGGAUUAGGCUGAGGAAAAGAGGCAGGGCAAAAACCAAGACCAGAACUGUUGCUAAAGCAGUGGGAUGAGUUCUGGAUUUUGCAAGCAAAACGCAUGUUCCUCUCUCCAUAGUUUCUGCAGGGAAAUUUUCUUUUUUAAUUUUAUUUUCAUUUUAUGGUAUUUCUGGAGACAGCAGUGCAGGAAUAUACCGUCUUGUCACUGAAGAGAGGGUGUCAGGCUACCAUGUCCUUUCCCCAGUGUUCUACCAGGACAGAACUGGGCAGAUUCCCCGGUGAUGAGACAGUACCACCAGGCACACGUGUCUGUUGGGUGAUUUAAGUUCUCAGUAGCUCUGCUGCACCAUGACUAAUGGGUGAGGCGAAGAGAAAGGUGUGAGAGGGGCUGCACAAAUGCUAAGUGAAGGAGGGCCUCCUUGCCAAAAAUGUGCAGCCUGCUGAGACAGGGACAGGGCAGGCAGCGAGGAGCAGCAUAACCCAGUCUUGGACCCUUCCCGAUGAUGCUCUUCAAGGAGGUCCAUCAACCCACGAUGGAUGAUAGUCUCACCUGUAGACGUUUCUCCAUAUGACUGAAUGUGAAGCACAAGCAGAACAUCCCCCAAGACAAUUCCUUGAGGCAGCUGGUGGCAUCAGCCAAUCUCUCCACGGCGUUUGUCACAAAUCAAGUUAUUACAGGCCGCAUCCCGCGUGACUGCGGCGUUACUCACCGUGUUUACUUUCCAUCCAACUCACCUCUUCUGCUGCGCAGAACCAGUCGUGCCAGCUACCAGAUGCCAUCUAAACGGUCUGGAAUGGACUUCUCAUGUGCGAGAUACGUUAGGUCAUGUAAGUCCUUCCCAAGGGGUAUAAUUAGGGAUCGCCCCACCCACCUCACACACGUUGAGCUUGAUGAGGCUUGUUGGGCUGCGAACCCCCCCAAUAGCAGAAGAAAAGAGCUUGCAGUGAAGGCUGCCCCGAGGGCUGGUGGUUCCAUCUCUGGGGCACAUCACCCUCUGCCAAACCCAUGGCCUGGAGGUGCUGACCCAAGGGUCUGCACACAACCGUGGUGGCAUCCAACUGGGGGAUGCUCCUCACUCACAACCCGGUCCCGUUUGCUCGCUGCUCACACGUUACAGCCCUCAUGGGCUGGGGGGAAAUACCCUUCUUUUUGCACAAUUAGCUUGGCCAUGAAUACUUUCUGUUAAAAAACAAUCAGGCUCUGCAAACUGAAGAUAUUUUGCUUUUUCCAUUGCUGUGGCUUCCUCCCAUUUUCCAGUAGCAUAAAUAGAAAUGGAAUAUAUAUAGUUUUUUUAAAUUCAUAUUCUUAUUUUGUGAAAAGACCCCCCCCCAAAAAAAUAAUUGCAGAGGCAAAUGCAUCUGGCAAACCCUUCACCUAUUAAAAAAGAAUAAAUCACCCAACUUGGCAGGACAUUUCCAAGACAGUAUGAGAAAAAUAUAAGAUCAGUUCUAUCUGAAAAGGAAUUACCAUCUUUAAUUGACAAGUGGCAGAAAGGAAAUUGUUAUUCUUAUUUAAACACGUCCCAAACCUGCAGCUUAUAAACUUCCUGUUGAUCUCAGGCUUGUGGUCCCUGAUUGUUUUUGUUUUGCAUUUUCAAAUCUGAUUUUUUUGUUUCCUUUUUAUUCUCAUGCCUGAUUCAUUUUCUCUCUCGUUUAGGAGGUCAGCUUUUCAAAACUGAUCUUUCGUCAUCUUUCAUCCAGAGUUAGCAUCCUCACAUCAAUUUCAGUGCAGGGAAGCUCCUGUCUCUGAGCUGUUUGUGCAUCUUUCUCUGAAGUCCCUGGUCCAGGCCACACAAGCACCUGGGCUGAUGGAAGCUGGAAUUGCCCAUGUUUCUACGUCAAACAUCUCAGAAGAACUCAGGUCCUCCAGAAAGGAAGCCCACAGCCUUCAGAAGGUAUGAAACAGAGCAGGAUGUUAAAUGUACAACCUGCGUCAGCAAGGAGCUUGCUCUUAAUCAACCAUCCACCUGAGAUACCUGGGGGCAAGGAAGGAGGAACGUGUUGGGACAGAGCGAAGCCACCGCCGAGGAGAGCGGCCACACAACCUGUGAGCCUUCGGAAGCCACUUGUUAAACGUCUCCCGUUUGAUCCCCAGGGAACAGUGUGCCAGAAACGGGAUGAAAAUGUUACUUCCAAGAAAGUGUCCCCCCCCACCACCACCUCGCCACCUCACCCCAGCAGGAACUGAGCAUCCUUUUGCUACCCGAGAGAUUAGUCAGGUUCGUGUGUGACUCGGUGCUCGGGGGGACUGCACUGAGCCAGAAUGAACGCGCUUGUGAAUUGAGAAGGGUGUCACGAAGGGUGCAAGACUGAUGAAAAAUAGAUGAGCUGGUGUAAAUGUGCUCAGGAGCUGAAUGACAACGUGUUAGCCUUGGCGCUGCCGAAUUCAGGCAGGGCCUGUCAAUAGCAUUAGAGAUGCUGCACCAGAUUUUUCCAAGGCUGUUUGCAAAUCGACCUAAUGUUCCUGUUGACACAAACCCUUGAAAGCGCAGCUCAAAGCAGCUUUGCUGAACCCUCCUGAUUUGCUCACAGAUUGCCGUCAGAUGUGAGCAGGAGAGAAAGUACUUGCCUGGGCAUCCAGGAGAGGGGAAAAUAGGGAAUUAACUGUGCACACAGAUGUGUGAUAUUACCUUCCAGAAACGUAGAGCAGGGAAGGAACUUACCAGCAUCAGGAGGAGUUUCCUCAUUGUUCAGUGAACUGUGUUUCUUGGUUUGGAGGGAAAUCUGGGUACGUGCAUCCAACACGUUGACCAGUCUUCAGCGUGGACUGCAGGGCUUGGAAAAAUCUCCAUCUUUGACAAAUUAAGACCCUAGUAUGAAAAGAAACACCACAAAACAACCCAAAUCAGAGUGAUCUCAAACUGUUUUUUGUUAGAACUCCAGUUGAACGAUUUGAUGGUCUUUACUGUUACCAGCUUAUCACAUUAAUAGUUGCUUUUCUCUCACCCUGGUGAGACUUUGUACCAGAGACACCAUCAGUUGCUCACUCGUGGGAUGGCAACGUGCAGAGCAAACAAUGAGCCAAGGCUGUUUAGAAAUCCUUCAACACUUCAGGCAGCGGAGAAGAGCCCAAGUUUCCACGUAAAGGGCUGAACGGACAAGAAUGACGUGAAACAUAUGGAAAAUAUGGAAAAUGUGGAAUAAGUAAUAAAAUUAUAAAUAAAACAAAUACAAUAAAUUGGGAAUGCAGUUUUACUCAUAAUGAUUUGUGUUCCUAGUAACCCAAGACUCCCUUACCUUUGGA